GUAGCGGCGAGCGAACGGGGAGGAGCCCAGAGCCUGAAUCAGCAUGUGUGUUAGUGGAAGCGUCUGGAAAGGCGCGCGAUACAGGGUGACAGCCCCGUACACAAAAGCGCAUGUGCUGUGAGCUCGAUGAGUAGGGCGGGACACGUGGUAUCCUGUCUGAAUAUGGGGGGACCAUCCUCCAAGGCUAAAUACUCCUGACUGACCGAUAGUGAACCAGUACCGUGAGGGAAAGGCGAAAAGAACCCCGGCGAGGGGAGUGAAAAAGAACCUGAAACCGUGUACGUACAAGCAGUGGGAGCACAGGUUUACCUGUGUGACUGCGUACCUUUUGUAUAAUGGGUCAGCGACUUAU
This 352-nucleotide ribosomal RNA is filed under the name Salmonella enterica subsp. enterica serovar Cerro. Its description in RNAcentral is "partial 23S ribosomal RNA". It matches the Rfam family "Bacterial large subunit ribosomal RNA", at positions 243 to 631 of the family's 2925-position model. Lineage: Bacteria; Pseudomonadati; Pseudomonadota; Gammaproteobacteria; Enterobacterales; Enterobacteriaceae. The record is from RNAcentral.